UUGCCAGCCCGCUCAGAAACUCAAAGGAAGUUGACGGGGCCCGCACAAGCGGAGGAGCAUGUGGUUUAAUUCGAUGAUACGCGAGGAACCUUACCUGGGCUCGAACGUAAGAUGACUGUAGGUGAAAGCUUACAUCUCUUCGGAGCAUUUUACGAGGUGCUGCAUGGUUGUCGUCAGCUCGUGCCGUGAGGUGUCGGGUUAAGUCCCAUAACGAGCGCAACCCCUACCUUUAGUUGCCAUCAGGUUAAGCUGGGGACUCUAAAGGAACUGCCUACGCAAGUAGUGAGGAAGGCGGGGAUGACGUCAAAUCAGCACGGCCCUUACGUCCAGGGCUACACACGUGCUACAAUGGCCGAUACAGAGGGCAGCUACCUGGUGACAGGAUGCAAAUCUCCAAAGUCGGUCUCAGUUCGGAUCGGAGUCUGCAACCCGACUCCGUGAAGUUGGAUUCGCUAGUAAUCGCGCAUCAGCCAUGGCGCGGUGAAUACGUUCCCGGGCCUU
This 501-nucleotide ribosomal RNA is filed under the name uncultured Sphingobacteriales bacterium. RNAcentral's name for it is "bacterial SSU rRNA". It matches the Rfam family "Bacterial small subunit ribosomal RNA", at positions 880 to 1382 of the family's 1533-position model. Lineage: Bacteria; Pseudomonadati; Bacteroidota; Sphingobacteriia; Sphingobacteriales. The record is from RNAcentral.